Molecule: ribosomal RNA, 438 nt
Filed under: uncultured bacterium
Lineage: Bacteria
Description: partial 16S ribosomal RNA
Rfam family: Bacterial small subunit ribosomal RNA
Source: RNAcentral
CUACGGGGGGCUGCAGUGAGGAAUAUUGCACAAUGGGGGGAACCCUGAUGCAACAACGCCGCGUGGAGGAUGACGCAUUUCGGUGUGUAAACUCCUUUUAUAUGUCAAGAAAAUGACGGUAGCAUAUGAAUAAGCACCGGCUAACUCCGUGCCAGCAGCCGCGGUAAUACGGAGGGUGCAAGCGUUACUCGGAUCACUGGGCGUAAAGGACGCGUAGGAGGGUUGGAAAGUCAGGUGGGAAAUCCUACAGCUUAACUGUAGAACUGCACUUGAAACUUCUAAUCUAGAGUAUGGGAGGGGGAGAUGGAAUUAGUGGUGUAGGGGUAAAAUCCGUAGAUAUCACUAGGAAUACCUAAAGCGAAGGCGAUCUCCUGGAACAUUACUGACGCUAAGGCGUGAAAGCGUGGGGAGCAAACAGGAUUAGAUACCCGUGUAGUC